RNAcentral lists this ribosomal RNA (253 nucleotides) under uncultured bacterium. RNAcentral's name for it is "partial 16S ribosomal RNA". It matches the Rfam family "Bacterial small subunit ribosomal RNA", at positions 524 to 776 of the family's 1533-position model. The record is from RNAcentral.
GACGGAGGGGGCUAGCGUUGUUCGGAAUGACUGGGCGUAAAGGGCGCGUAGGCGGCUUUUUAAGUGAGGCGUGAAAGCCCUGGGCUUAACCCAGGAGGUGCGUUUCAGACUGAAAGGCUUGAGUACGAGAGAGGAAAGUGGAAUUCCUAGUGUAGAGGUGAAAUUCGUAGAUAUUAGGAAGAACACCAGUGGCGAAGGCGGCUUUCUGGCUCGUAACUGACGCUGAGGCGCGAAAGCGUGGGGAGCAAACAGG